Molecule: small RNA, 340 nt
Filed under: Demospongiae sp. QM G333348
Lineage: Eukaryota; Metazoa; Porifera; Demospongiae
Description: partial large subunit ribosomal RNA
Source: RNAcentral
CGUCAGUCGCUCUGCAUUCCCGUUUGGCAAGCCGGCCAACGUCGGUUCGGUUCGGCUCACGAGGGCGGUCGGGAAGGUGCCUCGCUGUGUCGCCUCGGCGAGCKCAGUGAGUGCUUACAGUCGAUCGUUCGGCAGUCGGACGCUGCGGACCGAGGAGAUGUGUGACGCUUCACACCGGCAGCGCAGGUUYGCCGUCUCGGCGGCGGGCCGGGUCCCUUCUGACCGUUGGGUGGUCGCUGCUGGGACUGCCCGUCAGUGCCAGCUGACGUCUCGCCUCCUCGGUCGGGAGGUCGAUCACGCCAUGCGCUGCAGUCGCUGGCUGAAGGAAGGCUGCAUUCGA